GACGAACGCUGGCGGCGUGCUUAACACAUGCAAGUCGAACGGAAAGGCCCUGCUUUUGUGGGGUGCUCGAGUGGCGAACGGGUGAGUAACACGUGAGUAACCUGCCCUUGACUUUGGGAUAACUUCAGGAAACUGGGGCUAAUACCGGAUAGGAGCUCCUGCUGCAUGGUGGGGGUUGGAAAGUUUCGGCGGUUGGGGAUGGACUCGCGGCUUAUCAGCUUGUUGGUGGGGUAGUGGCUUACCAAGGCUUUGACGGGUCGCCGGCCUGGGAGGGGGACCGGCCACAUUGGGCCUGCGAUACGGCCCAGACUCCUACGGUAGGCAGCAGUGGGGAAUAUUGCACAAUGGGCGGAAGCCUGAUGCAGCAACGCCGCGUGCGUGAUGACGGCCUGCUGGUUGUAAACCGCUUUCGCCUGUGACGAAGCGUGAGUGACGGUAAUGGGUAAAGAAGCACCGGCUAACUACGUG
RNAcentral lists this ribosomal RNA (468 nucleotides) under uncultured bacterium. Its description in RNAcentral is "partial 16S ribosomal RNA". It matches the Rfam family "Bacterial small subunit ribosomal RNA", at positions 28 to 507 of the family's 1533-position model. The record is from RNAcentral.